CGCGGAGUAGAGCAGCCCGGUAGCUCGCGAGGUUCAUUCCCUCGAGGUCGUGUGGUUCAAAUCCCACCUCCGCAA
This 75-nucleotide transfer RNA is filed under the name Myoviridae sp. ct0mM28. RNAcentral describes it as "tRNA-Met". It matches the Rfam family "tRNA". Rfam says of the family: Transfer RNA (tRNA) molecules are approximately 80 nucleotides in length. Their secondary structure includes four short double-helical elements and three loops (D, anti-codon, and T loops). The record is from RNAcentral. RNAcentral also lists the same sequence under 2 other names. Lineage: Duplodnaviria; Heunggongvirae; Uroviricota; Caudoviricetes.